This 575-nucleotide ribosomal RNA is filed under the name uncultured bacterium. RNAcentral describes it as "partial 16S ribosomal RNA". It matches the Rfam family "Bacterial small subunit ribosomal RNA", at positions 355 to 921 of the family's 1533-position model. The record is from RNAcentral.
UGAGGAAUAUUGGUCAAUGGGUGCAAGCCUGAACCAGCCAUCCCGCGUGAAGGACGACUGCCCUAUGGGUUGUAAACUUCUUUUGUAUAGGGAUAAACCUACCCUCGUGAGGGUAGCUGAAGGUACUAUACGAAUAAGCACCGGCUAACUCCGUGCCAGCAGCCGCGGUAAUACGGAGGGUGCAAGCGUUAUCCGGAUUUAUUGGGUUUAAAGGGUCCGUAGGCGGACUUAUAAGUCAGUGGUGAAAGCCUGUCGCUUAACGAUAGAAACUGCCAUUGAUACUGUAAGUCUUGAGUAUAUUUGAGGUAGCUGGAAUAAGUAGUGUAGCGGUGAAAUGCAUAGAUAUUACUUAGAACACCAAUUGCGAAGGCAGGUUACCAAGAUAUAAACUGACGCUGAGGGACGAAAAGCGUGGGGAGCGAACAGGAUUAGAUACCCUGGUAGUCCACGCCGUAAAACGAUGCUAACUCGUUUUUGGGGCUUCGGCUUCAGAGACCAAAGCGAAAAGUGAUAAGUUAGCCACCUGGGGAGUACGCUCGCAAAGAGUGAAAACUUAAAAUGAAUUGACGGGGGUC